This 253-nucleotide ribosomal RNA is filed under the name uncultured bacterium. Its description in RNAcentral is "partial 16S ribosomal RNA". It matches the Rfam family "Bacterial small subunit ribosomal RNA", at positions 524 to 776 of the family's 1533-position model. The record is from RNAcentral.
UACGGAGGGGGCUAGCGUUGUUCGGAAUUACUGGGCGUAAAGGGCUCGUAGGUGGUCAACUAAGUCGGACGUGAAAUCCCUCGGCUUAACCGGGGAACUGCGUCCGAUACUGGAUGACUUGAGUUCGGGAGAGGGAUGCGGAAUUCCAGGUGUAGCGGUGAAAUGCGUAGAUAUCUGGAGGAACACCGGUGGCGAAGGCGGCAUCCUGGACCGACACUGACGCUGAGGAGCGAAAGCCAGGGGAGCAAACGGG